CAUAUAGAGAUACGAGUACUGAGGAACCAGAAGUAAAAAGUCAGCCACAAGUGGCUGUUGUCUAUACAAGAGCAGGUGCCCAAGUUGUUUCUAGCCCCCAGCUAUUAGACCAUCGUGGUAGCUUGGCACAAUCUUCAAGGGACCAUUCCCCUAGUAGAAGUAUAAGAGAACCCAUGAGAGUACAGUUUCAUACCAUUGAACAUGAGCAGGAGUCUGAUCUAGUGAGUAAUGUAGAUAUUACGGUAGAGUACCCUGUAGACCAGUCAGUCGGUCAGCCAGAGGAGAUGUGUCCCCCCAUUAGACGCUCCACUCGUAGGACGGCAGGCCAACACCCAAAUCCUUUUAAUCUUCCCCAGUCUGUGGCACAGAAUGGGUCUAGUGGUUUUGCAGAAGUUAGUUCCCUCACUACCACCUUUAGGCCUUGGCAGUAGGGAUUACCUUUUGGGUGGUUCACCGGGACGGUGAUUAUUAAAGCAGGGGUGUAUGUAGCCAGGUCAGUAGAGGGCGCUGCUGAGGGUAUCAGUAUAGGGUGUAAGUUCCCUUUAAAUAUGUCGCUUCCUGUUGGUUGGAAUGGCUGCAGUGUUUGAAUUGUUUGGCAUGGUCGGUCGCUGGAAGAACAAGCUCUGUUGGUUUGUUUAGACGUGUGUUCUAAAUACCUUAAUGCUGAGAAGGUUUGACUGGAUGAGUGGUGGACACUGGGUUACCAUUGCAGUACACUGCACAGAAGUUUCCUUAAAGGCCCUCAUAUUGGCUGCUGAACGAGAUGAGCAGUGGAUAUUAACGACGGUUGUACUUCCUGUGGCGUCUGAAAUAAGAAUUCGAUCCAUCCAGUGCAAAUGACCACUGUUUUUCC
Molecule: long non-coding RNA, 853 nt
Organism: Carassius auratus (goldfish)
Lineage: Eukaryota; Metazoa; Chordata; Actinopteri; Cypriniformes; Cyprinidae
Exons: 3
Source: RefSeq, a predicted model, not a curated record